Molecule: ribosomal RNA, 324 nt
Filed under: uncultured eukaryote
Lineage: Eukaryota
Description: partial 18S ribosomal RNA
Rfam family: Eukaryotic small subunit ribosomal RNA
Source: RNAcentral
CCCUUAGAUGUUCUGGGCCGCACGCGCGCUACACUGAACAUAUCAGCUUGUUUUUCCCUUCCUGAGAAGGACGGGUAAACCCCUGAGCCAUGUUCGUGGUAGGGAUUGGGGCUUGCAAUUAUUCCCCACGAACCAGGAAUUCCCAGUAGGCGCAAGUCAUAAGCUUGCGUCGAUUACGUCCCUGCCCUUUGUACACACCGCCCGUCGCUACUACCGAUUGAGUGAUCCGGUGAAUAAUUCGGACUGCAGCACUGCUUGGUCUCCAGGCUUUGCAGCGGAAAGUUUAGUGAACCUUAUCACUUAGAGGAAGGAGAAGUCGUAACA